CUGAACGCAGAGAGAGAGAGAGAUAACAGAGUGAGAUCAGGAGAUGGAGAGGGAGAUCAGAGAGAGAGAGUUGGGAGCAGAGAGAUGAAACUGAGAGAGCCGAGAGAUGAGACCGAGAUCGAGAGAGUUGAGGGAGAUGGAGCCCGAUCCUCCAUGGAUCGACGCCGGUGAUGCGAGUUCCGGCCGACUCUACCGGUGGGUCGACUAUGGUGGAGCCUAGGACUCGAUUUCCGGCGGAACCCAAGAGCUUGGACCCGCAACCCGCGACCCGAACCCAAGAACCCGUGAGACCCGAUAUUUCGGUGGUGUAGUCCGGCGAGUCCUCCGACGAACCAGAGCCGAUUUCCGGCCUUGCUUCGGAUAGUGUCCGAAUUGGAGACUUCAAUGGGUUCUCCAAUGUAGAGUCUGAGUCGUGGGUCCAAUGCAGCCAAGGUGAGUAUUCUACUCACUGAGAAAAGAUAUUUUUCGUAUUUUAUAGAAAUGCAAAUGAUAGAUGAUUUUCUACUGAACCAACGAUAUGUUAACAUGUAUGCUUUGAAUGUUUUAAGUAGUUUCAAUUAUGUUGAAAUAUCAAUGAUGUUAUGAAAUGAUGCAUAAAUGAAAUGUUUGAAUUGAUUUAAAGUGUCUGAAUAUGUACUGCAAUUAUGCAAAGAAAAAUAAAGAAAACUUCAUGUUUAUUGGUUCAUUGUAUUUGAAGAGAGCAUGAUUUGUAAAGAAUAGGAGUAUAGAGUUUGAGUUGUAAAGCAUAAUGCACGAACACAUAAUAAAGAAGAGAGCGUGAGGCUCAUAAUAAAGAAGAGAGCGUGAGGCUCAUAAUAAAGAAGAGAGCGUGAGGCUCAUAAUAAUGAAGAGAGCGUGAGGCUCAUAAUAAAGAAGAGAGCGUGAGGCUCAUAAUAAUGAAGAGAGCGUGAGGCUCAUAAUGAACAAAAAGACUAUCAUAAGCAUGCAUAGCAUUGUUUAAAUUGUGUAAUGUUUUCAUGAUAAGUAUAUUGUAGUUUUGCUAGACGUAUUAGUAUGCAUAAGAGUCUUGAUAGAAAAAGAACUUAUGUAUAUUGGUAUCGGAUUGUGUGAUGUUUUUAUGAAAGUAUAUUGUAGUUUUGCUAGACGUAUUAGUAUGCAUAAAAGUCUUGAUAGAAAAAGAACUUAUGUAUAUUGGUAUCGGAUGGUUGCAUGAUUUAAAUGUCAUUGUGUUCUAUAACGAAUCUUUUAUGUAUAAUACUAGCUGCCCAGUGUAUUUAAAUGUUUUCUAUUAGUCGGUGUUUGCUAUAUCAGCUAUGGGGUUUUUCAAACAAAAGUUUAUAAGAUUGGUAGCUGUUAUAGUGUACGCACGACUAAAAAUGAAAAGUUGGUUCUUUGCGAAAACUCAGUGAAUAGUAUACCUCUGAGGUCUUAGUGUAUUUAUUUAUGCUAAGACGGUGGGCUCAUAAUUCCACCUAUACGGAUGUGGCAAACCCCCACAACCGUAUAGAUGAUGUUUCUUUGGCUGCAGGUAUUCUGGUCAUAGUAUAUGGUGUCGUAGAAGUAUAUUGAGGAUAUUAUGACUAAAGCUCAACGCGACGAUUGUAAUGUGUUAGACCGCGGGAUGUCUAUUCCUUUAGGUAUUUUGAUUAUGGCUUGUGACGCUUGCGCCACAUAAACUUUGUUAAGCCAUUUAUGUUAUGUAUUUAAUUUGAGGAAAGACUUAAAUCAUAUAGUUAUGUAAUGGCUCUUAUUGUCAUUAAUUGUGAUAGACAUAUAAGAUGUGAUUCCCGCUAA
Molecule: long non-coding RNA, 1755 nt
Organism: Alnus glutinosa
Lineage: Eukaryota; Viridiplantae; Streptophyta; Magnoliopsida; Fagales; Betulaceae
Exons: 2
Source: RefSeq, a predicted model, not a curated record